CUAGGUCAGGACCCUCACUGCUAGGUUCUGCAUCAAGGUAGUUCUCAGUGUGGGUCCCUUUUGGGGCCUUAGCAGAAUGCAAGGAAGCCCAGCCUGGAGUUCAAACCUCUUCCAAUUCAUUUACAGGUAGCACCUUUUCCCCAACAGCUAGGCCUUAUGGGAAAAGAAUGUAAAUGCUUCCUGCCUUGCUGAAACUCCAUCCGCGAGAUGGCAGUAAUGCGCCGAGUAUGUGCACAAGUGACGGUGUCUACUGCUCUACUCCCGCCCUUCUUGUCUGAAAAAAAGGUCACAGGCGUGGCUCCAGCUAGUAAUGGUCAUGGCAGAGGCUUGAAGAAUGUUGGAUUGUAGACCAGUAUCCCCCUUUUGCCUUCCCCUCCCAAGGACAUUUUAAAGAUGCUUACUUCAUCUCACUAUGACUGACCUGACAAAUGCUCUUUCGAAUUUCUUCAAGAUCCAAAGUGAAAUAUAAAGCACUAAGCACUAGAAACUGUAUAUUAAUAUGAAUAUAUGGCCAUGAUGAAUACAGUGCAGCGAGGGCUUGUGUAAAGUGAUACAUGCAUACAUUUAUAUCUAAGAGAAAUGAGCAUGUGUGGUGUACAUAGGUACAACUUUGUAAAAACGUGAUUUUUCUGCAUACACAAAGUUCUAAAAUCUGUAUGUUUGUGAUCUUGGUCAGUGUUAGAGGCUGUAUUUGUAUACAUUUUUUUGUAUAUAUGUAAACAAAUAUUAAUAAAAAACUGCAGCUGCAUUUGAGUGGUAUGAAUACAUUUUCCUUUAACUAUUCUCCAGGAGCACAUUACAGUGCCUGAAUAUGAAAUAUGCCAAAUAGGGAUAAUUCUAUUGAAAGUUCACUUUCAUUUACUGUGGCUUUUAAGUUUCAGGAGGAUCACCUGAUGUUGAAGGCCAUUUUGGGCUGCAUAGUUAAGUCAAAGCCAGCCUAGAGUACAUAAAGAGAAUCUUGCUAGGUAAAACAACAAAAACAAAACAAACGAACAAAAAACCAAAUUGGAAUUUAUGGUAAAAGUUUUUUCCUGCUUCUGCAAUACUGGAGCUUAAAUUUAGGGCAUUUCCACUAUGUCAUAUCCACAGGAAUUUUUUUUCUCUCUCUCUUUUAUUUAUUUAUUUAUUUUUUGAGCCAGGG
Molecule: long non-coding RNA, 1141 nt
Filed under: Fukomys damarensis (Damara mole-rat)
Lineage: Eukaryota; Metazoa; Chordata; Mammalia; Rodentia; Bathyergidae
Description: lncRNA (ENSFDAG00000023755.1)
Source: RNAcentral